CGCGUAGGCGGAAAUGUAAGUCAGAUGUGAAAUCCCGGGGCUCACCCCCGGAACAGCAUUUGAAACUACAUUCCUUGAGGGUAGGCGGAGAAAACGGAAUUCCACAAGUAGCGGUGAAAUGCGUAGAUAUGUGGAAGAACACCAGUGGCGAAGGCGGUUUUCUAGCUUAUUCCUGACGCUGAGGCGCGAGAGCAAGGGGAUCAAAACA
This 208-nucleotide ribosomal RNA is filed under the name uncultured bacterium. RNAcentral's name for it is "partial 16S ribosomal RNA". It matches the Rfam family "Bacterial small subunit ribosomal RNA", at positions 568 to 775 of the family's 1533-position model. The record is from RNAcentral.